AUUUCAAAUACGAUCCUUUUCAGCUUCAAUUCAAUUCUCUCACAUCGAAAAAGCGAUAGAUAGAGGAAAAUUCGCUAUUUUUUCACCCUCAAGCUUCAGUCUCAAUGUCUAGGAGGGUGCUUUGUAAGUUCUUUGCACAUGGAGCAUGUUUAAAAGGGGAGCAUUGUGAGUUUUCACAUGACUGGAAAGAUCCGCCAAAUAAUAUUUGCACCUAUUAUCAAAGAGGAAUCUGCUCUUAUGGCAGCCAAUGCAGAUAUGAACAUGUUAAACCAUCUAGGUCAGAUCUUGCUUCUUCUUCAACAACAACUCCUCAGCAAUCUAUGGUAUCAACUUCUGUUCCUGUGGUCCAUCCUGUGAGAACUGGAUUUAGCAGGGGAACAUCAGUCCCAGGUGCUUCUGGAGAGCUUUCCGCUUCAAGUAGACCUUACUUUCCUCCCACCAAGCCAGCAUGGAAUUUGGUGUUUGCGCCUAACAACAUUUUAGAAAAUGGUGGCAUUAUAGAACCUAGGAAUGUUAAACCAGAAGGCCAUUCUCUCUGUUCAUUUGCUGCUGCUGGUAAUUGCCCCCGUGGAGUUAAAUGUCCUCAUAUUCAUGGUGACAUUUGCCCCACUUGUGGGAAACAUUGCUUGCAUCCUUUCAGACCAGAAGAAAGAGAGGAACAUUUGAAAACAUGUGAGAAGAA
Molecule: unclassified non-coding RNA, 682 nt
Filed under: Hevea brasiliensis (rubber tree)
Lineage: Eukaryota; Viridiplantae; Streptophyta; Magnoliopsida; Malpighiales; Euphorbiaceae
Source: RNAcentral